CGGGCUUGCAUUGUAUUACUAGAGCAGCGAAAAAUAUCAAGUACGGCAGCACCACUAAAAGGCUUCAUGCCUGUAAGAAACAUAUUCCGGACAGUAUCAGAAUCCAAUUUUUCAUUAACAGAUUCAAUUCCAGUGAAUACAUGUUCUUUAAUAUGCUGAUUUUCCUCAAAACCUUCCUUAAUUUUUGCAUCAGGCUUCCUGUUGCAACUAUCCUCA
RNAcentral lists this unclassified non-coding RNA (216 nucleotides) under Hevea brasiliensis (rubber tree). The record is from RNAcentral. Lineage: Eukaryota; Viridiplantae; Streptophyta; Magnoliopsida; Malpighiales; Euphorbiaceae.